AAUGCUGUUCCUUCCCUUCCUGUAAUAGUAGUCGGACCUGAUAAUUGAUGUGCAGCUGGUACAAAGAGAAUAAAUGAAAGACGUGUGACCUUGACUCUUGAGGCUAGUGUUUGAGUUUGGAACAAAAAGUGGUCAGUACGUGUAAGUGUUUUGUGGUCAGUACGUGUGAGUGGUGUUUUGUGAUGCUUUUGGUUCCCUCUUUCCUUCUGUACCAUUUUUUUUUUCCCUGGAAUUUGUUUGAAAUGUUCACAUGUACCUUGAUCGUAUAUAGCUUGAAGUGAGUGAGAUGGAACCUGAUAUUAGAAACUAUUAGAUCUCUUUGUUUAGCUCUAUAUCACAUAGCAGAAUGACGCUGUAGGUUUUUUGCAUUAUUUUUGCAUUACUGAGAUAGGAGGCUGGCUCUUUAGAUACAAGCAUAUUGAGAAAAUUCGCCCUAAAUUUCAAAGACUGAUCCUGAUCACUUGAUUUGAGAAACAUCCCAUUUCUUAGGUUAUGGAAGUAGUAAGCUUCUCUAUAUUUAAAUAUGAGAUGGGUGCAAGUGUAGUUUAUGUAUCUGUGAUACACGUCCUAGUUAAUAUGUACCAAGUCCCCAAGAAUAGAAGGAAAUUACUUGCACAAACUUUACAUAGAGAUCACUGCAAUUUUUUUUGUAGCCUGUUACAUUGCUGGAGGAUCAACUCCACUUGACGGAUCCCAACCUGGAGGAUUGAUGUUUGGCCA
RNAcentral lists this long non-coding RNA (720 nucleotides) under Daucus carota (carrot). RNAcentral describes it as "long non-coding RNA (DCAR_LNC001570)". The record is from RNAcentral. Lineage: Eukaryota; Viridiplantae; Streptophyta; Magnoliopsida; Apiales; Apiaceae.